AAUGAGUCCUAGAAAAUAAUUAAGGAUAAUUUUUAGAUUCUGAGACUAUAGAUUAAUAAAAUAAUCAAAAACACCUAAAAUUUAGCUACGUAAUUCCAAUGAAAUUUGAAUAGAGGAAAGGAGAGUUUUGAGAAGUAUAUUUAUUUCCAGUCACUGUAAUUUACAUGUAUGUGUGUGUGUGUAUGUAUGUGUGUAGGAUUAUAGAAUGGAUUUAGUACUGUUUCCUCUUUUUUAUAUAACAUUUUUUCUUGAGAUUUUUCAUGUCAUUUAAAAUUACAAACAUGCAUAUCAGCUCUUUGUAAGUCAAGUAGUCUGAUAUAAAAUUCUGAAUAUACAUGAAUUGCUUAAGCAAAAGGAGAAUACCUCUAGUACUUAACACAGGAUUUGACACAAGAAUAUUUUCUGAUUGAAUUAAUAAUGAAUAUUAUAUUAUCAAAAGUUUCAGCUUGGCUGCUGUGAUCCUGUGAUGCAGUGGAAGUGGAUAGAUCUUAUUCCAGCUGGCAUAUGAAUAAACAAAAGCUUUGUAUAUACUGUGGUUAUUCCAAGGUUUAAGCAAAUACCCUUCAUACAGAGAACAAAAAUUAAUAUAUGAACUAAUAUUUACUUUUAGUUUUGUUCUAUUGGCUCAAAAUACCUGAUUGCUUUAAUAUCUCCUUUACAACACUGUCCUGUUAUUAUUGUUUUUCCAAUAAUAGCAAGCUUGAGUUUUAAAAGAAUAUGAACUUCCAUUUUUACUUUUCAUAGCUCACACCUUAGGAAAAAAUAAUACAUAAAAUGAGGCUUUAUAAAUGACAGGUUGUGGCUUCAGCAAAUAAAUAUAUAUUCUCCACAUUCAGUCCUUAUGAUACUAUUCUGCAUUUAAUUUUUUUACUUUUAGGGCUGAACCUGUGGCCCUAUGCAAGUUCCCAGGCUAGGGGUCAAAUUGGAGCUACAGCUGCUGGCCUACCCCACAGCCACAGCAGCAUGGGAUCUAAGCCAUGUCUGAAACUUAACACCACAGCUCAUGGCAAUACCAGAUCCUUGACCCGCUGAGUGAGGCCAGGGAUUGAACAUGUAUCCUCAUGGAUACUAGUUGGGCCUGUAAACCACUGAGCCACAAUGGGAAUGUCUAAUUUUCUAAUUUUCAAAGCAUUUUGAAAUGCAUAAUCCCAAAUAAAACCAAAUUAUAUGUAUUAGCCCUAAUAGUGAUAAAAAUAUUGUCUUCAUAUGAAUACAUCCACGGCUGAUUUUUUUUUUAAAUAACCUUUCAAGUGAGAGAUACACUAUCUAGAUUAAAACCUGCUGACUUCUCCCAAAAACUGUCACAAAGAUAGGAAUUUUAAAUUGUAUUUUAGUAGUAGACAUGUAUUUACACUGAAAGAGUCAAAUUGCUUCAUUUCUGCAAACUUUCUGCAAAAUGUCUGAUGAGGCUUAAGUUUUCUUAAGACUUUCAAUAAUUCUCACAAUAGUUUACCACCAAUACCAUGCCCACAUCAACUGAAAUAACCAGUCAUAGAUUUUAAAAAGGUAACACAGUAACUUUUAAUCCAGAAAUAUCCUGCUUCAAGAAUAUUAUUGUAACCAUGUCUAGUUCUUAAAUACGAUUUGUAAAUAGUGAAAAACAUAAAAAAUAUCUUGGAAUGCCCAUAUUUGAUUUCCAUUUUCUAUGAAUGGACUUAUUUUCAUGGUAUAUUUGCCUCUUGCUAAACAUAGAUAAAUUACUUUCCUCUAAUGUUCAAACUUGUAUUUAGAGAAAUAAAUUAUUUCAGUAACUUUGAGAACUUAAUCUUCAAUUAAAUCAUAAGUCACAAAUACUUGACUCUGAACAGCUUUAUCCACCAGUGUUUUGGAGUGCUUAUUAUACAAAUAUAUACUUAUCUAUGAAAGAUUUAUAGAAGAAAAGUAGUGGGUUUCUGCUUUUUGAGGAAAAAAAUGAACCAGCUCUACUUCAAGUCCCAAAGGUUUCCUUUGUGAUGUUCUAUAGUAUUUCACCCUAGACCCUACCUGUUUAACUCACUCAGGGUACCCCCAUGAGUAUAUGAUAUGACUUGGUUUUUGUUUACAGGUUAGAAACAAGAUUAACCUGCCUACUUUUCCAUACCAAGACAAAAUGUCAUUUAUUUUCUGACGAACAAUGUGUGCUAGAGACAUGGAUAUUUUUUCUCACUUAUUUCAUUUUUUAAGUAAAUUCCAAAGUUUCUGAAAAUCAAUCUUUUAAUAAAGAGGGGAAUGCCUGUUAUUGAUGUUUAUAUGCUAAAAGGUCAAGACUACAGUUAUUCAGAGGGAAAAAAAAAGGAAAUAAAAAAGAAAAACACCUCCUUAGGGAAAUAAAAGAGGGUUAAUGAAGUAUCCUGUUUGUCAUCAUGUAAUAAUCACAGAAAUGCCUCUUUUAGAUAUUCCUGCUUAAAAAUCAGUUUAAAUUACUCUUCUAGCCUAGAAGAGUCCCUCACAUUUGAAAUUUUGUUGAUUUUAUAUGAUUAAUAUGCACCAAGUAAUAGCAGUAAAGACCAUAAUCAUCAAAACUGAUCUGUAUUUUAUAUUAAUAUUUUAAUAUUGUGUAUUUAGAAAAUGACACAAAUAUGAAAUACACAUUAUACUAGCAUAUUUAGAUUUCAUUAACAAAGAUAGCAGCUAGAGCUAUAAUUUAAAAAUUUGGCCAGUUGGUUUAUCUGUCUUUUAAUGGAUGAAAUAUUGUGUCAACCAAAAAAUUGUAAAGUUAUCACCCUAGCAACAUAACCAAAAUUGUUAGCUCCAGUGAUUAAGGGGAAGAUGUCCACAAAUAUUUCAUUGCCAUCUGUGUUCAUACCUCCUGAAAUCCUAUCUAUAGCUUCUCCCAUUAAAAUAAUUUAUUUUUCCUUCUUUUGAAUCUGAGUUGCGGUGUAACUUGCUUUGGCAAACAGAAAGAAAUUUAAGAGAUUGUGUUCCAGUUCAGAACUUAAGCUGGAAGAUUUUCAUGCUUUCAUUUGUUCCUUGGGACCUUGCCCUAUUGCCGUAUGAAUAAGCCUGGAGGUUAGGCUGUUGGGGGAGGAGUGACCACAUAAAACAGAGACACUCUUGCAGCUCAGUGUUUCCUAGACCAGCCAGUCCCUGGGAAACCCAGCAGCAGGUAACAAUGCAAGGCUGAGCUCACAAGGAACCACCCAACUGAGAACCACAAAACUGCUAAUCUGAACAAUAAUGAAUUAAAAUAUUGUUUCAAGCCACACAACAUUGGGGUAUAUUGUUAUGCAGUAAAAAAAAAACUAAUAUAUUUUUAAAAAAUAAGUAUUCCUAUGCAUAGUUAUCCAUGCUUAAAAAGUAUUUCAAUAGCAUUUGGGGACAAAGACCUCUGCUGCACAAAAUCUGGUUCCAUUUUUUAAAAUAAGCUACUGACUCUCUUUGUGGGGGCUCGCAGGUUGCUGAUACCUCUAUUGAUGCUUGCUUGUCCUAGGAAACAUUCAGCCAAAUGGCAGACUGAUAGAAAUAGAGAUUAGUUUAAAACAUCUGGUAGUGAAAAUAAAAUCUUCUUUUAUACCUUGAAGGAGCUUUAGCUAGGCUUAAAUCAACGACUUUAAAAAGUAAAUAUUGUCUGUACAUAAAUAUCACCAAAAUAACUGGAAAGGAGUAAACACAUAAGUAAAAUUUAUGACUUAACAUUAAAUAGAUAUAAACAAGAUUUUGAUGGAAUCCAACUGCUUUUUCUACUAAGUUCAAAUGCAUUAUUUUAACCACAGAUUAAGUAUUUUUUUCAAUGCACUGCUUAAAAAUACUUCAAGGAGAAGAUAUUGAUUUGGUGAUCUAAUCUCAUGGAAAGAAGGGGUGACUUUGUAUUUUAAUGCCAUAUAAUGAGUAUAAUAAAAAUAUUAACUUAAUGAAAUCCUGCCACCUAAUAAGCAUAUUUAGGUUCCACUUUAUUAUAUUCCCUUCAUAUAAAUUAGGAAUAGAAAGAGAAAAAAUAAUUGAUAUAAAAAAUUCUUCUAUGGAAAAAAUGAAAUGAUUUUUAUAACAAAAUCAAGUAUAAAAACACAAGCAUUUUUAUCUUAGGCAUUACAUAAAACUAUGCCUGAAAAAAAAAUAGUGGUAAUCACAUAAAAUCCAAAAUAAUAUGAAGAAUUCUGGUGCCCUGAUAAAACUUAAAGGGAAUUAUAUUCUGUCCAGUUCUGAUAUUAGGCUAUAGCAUUUUUCAGAAGAUUCACCACUUAUUGUAAAACAUUUAAAGCUAAUGACACAACUAGAGUGAGACAACUUGAUUUAAAACACUAACAUGUCCUCAGACUGUAAAGGCAAUGUGAUUGUAUUAGAGGUUAGGAAACAAUACAGUAUUUGUCAUGCUGUGUUGUAACCUGUCCUUGCAUAGACUUCUAUAUAUUUCUACAGCAAAGAUGGGUUUAUUCAGGAUCGGCAGAAAAUUGGAAUUGGGAGUUUGCAACCACAACCAGCCACAUGAAAGUCCCCUCCCAGCAAGGGAAGGAUAACACUUUUAUGGAGAGGAAAAUGAAGUUGGAAGGGCUAGAGUAAGCAAAGAGUUUCUGGUUUUCUCAUUUGCUAAGUUCUUGCCAGGAGAGAAGUAAAAUAUUUCUUCUUUCUCUUAGGCUAUUCUAUUGUCACAGGGCAAGAGAGCUUCCCUUUCUGGUCCUCUGGCUGGGUUUACAUUGAGGUUUCUGUUUAUUUAUUCAUUCAUUUAUUUUUUGCAUUCCUUCAUUUUCAUCAAGAUUUCUCUGAAAAUAUCACUGAUCAAGAUUCAGGUUUGUAGUUUCAGUGGCUUUUUUCUUUUCCUUUCUUUCUUUCUUUCUUUCUUUCUUUCUUUCUUUCUUUCUUUCUUUCUUUCUUUCUUUCUUUCUUUCUUUCUUUCUUUCUUUCUUUCUUUUUUUCCUCAGUGUCAGAAAGGAACUUUCAUGGGUAUAGUGUCUCAUAUUGGAGGGAAAGUGUACAGCGUAGAAACAUAAUCAAGUCACAUUAGAGUAACAAGGAGGGGUAGGAGGGACAAUAUUCAGGUACUUUUCUUAAAGCCCAUAUGUAGAUUAUUUGAAGGGUUAUGCCAGCAUCCAAGUUUGACUAUAAACUUCCAACAUGCUUAGUCCAGAUAUUUUAAGAAAGCUGUGUCAUGAGAUGUCAUCUUCUUCCCUUCUGGGAAAUCUUUAUUUUCAGGCCACCAGAUCAUAUGCAGGUAUGUCACGUGAAUCCAAGGGUCAAUUCCUUGAAUUUUAGUAGUAUAAGGGUGGGAUAGCAAUACUUGAUAGGGGCCUUUCCGGAGAGAUUGAAGAGAGUUCUUCUGGAGGUUUCUUUUCUAAUAGACAAACAUAUCCAGGAAGCAAGUUGUGAUGCUUAAGUUCUUCGUCUCCCAAGAAUGGACUGUGAAAAGAUUGCUCUAACAAAGCAUCGUUAUUUUUCAUAGAAGUAAUUAGGGCUUUGCAAUAUUGGAACAUCUCCCCUUUUAUCAGUUGUGGCUCAAAAACAAUAAGAGUCAAGGCAUUAGGCAUCUGUGACUGUAUGAAAGGGUGAGUUUAUGAGUUCUAAAAGGGGUGGAUAUAAGAUUUAGAAAACCAAUGGUAAUACUUAUGGCCAAAGUAUUUGGAGGAUGUCUACAAAUUUUGUCACUAGAUUCUCAGUUAUGCCACUAGUGCAUUAACUAAACCAGAGGGCUGAGGGUGGUAAGCCCAGUGAAAGUGCUGUAAAACUGCCUAAAGGGUGAAGACUUAUCAAAGUACCUGGCCAGUAAAAUAGGUUCUUUAAUUACUGUGAAGUUUGAGAAAAGUUUCCCAGGUAGGGACAGUCUUUUACAAAAAAAAGGAAUUUAGCAACAGAAAAGGCAGUAGAUUUUCUGCAUAGGAAGGCUUCAGUCCGAUGAGAAAACAAAUCCAUAAAAAAAGACAUAUUUAUAACCAUGAAAUUAAGAAAGUUGGAUGAAACCUAUUUGUGAAAUCUUGAAUUGUCCAUUAGUCAGUUUAAAAUAUCCAGGAGUAGUACAAACAGGCGUCCCUGUUAAAUUUGUUAAAUUUUGGAGAAGUAGGACAAGUUAAGUGGGCACUUUUUGUGACCUUAUUAAUAUUUUCUCACCAAUAUUCAUUAAGGCUAUUAUUUGGUCAGUAGACUGAUGGUUUACUACAUGUACAAUGGUCACAAGUGGGAAUUUUAGAGUCUCCAGCCAGACUGGACUGUUGUUUGAUCUGGUACUUUCUCUUGUUAUCAAACCAAAAACUGUUGAAUUUUCAAUAAUGUUUUUACCUUCCUAAAGCCAAUCGUUGGGCUUCUAUAAUCAGUUUUUAUAAAUUAUCAUUUGGGGAAAUAUACCUUUGAACUAAGACAGAAAUUUGGCUAUUUUUGUCCCUUUAAGGGCAGAAUUCCUUGUGUAAAUGUCAGCAAGGUAAUUUUCCCUAGCUUCCAGAGAUUCAAGUUUAGCAUGCCCCAGGAUCUCAAUAAUAGCUAUGGUAGCAAGUUAAAAAGUAUUACAUUUAAAUAUUCCUGAACAUAGGAGCUAUUUAAAAUUUUAUUUUCACUGUGACUGAAGAAGUCAUGCUGCUUUCACAGCACUCCCAAAUCAUGCAAUGUUCCAAAGCAUAUCUAUUCUCUGUAUAUAGUUACAGUUUUGUCUUUGUCUAAAGCAAAACUUGUGUAAAAGUCUAUAAUUCAGUCUGUUGGCCUGAAGUAGCCAUAGGUAAAGAUGCUGCCUGAACAACAUCCAAAGGGACUACAAUAGCACACCUAGCACAAUAUUUGCCUUUGAAAUAAGUCUCAUGAGUGAACCAAAAUAAAUCACUGUUAUCCAAACUUCCUGUAGAUCAUCACAAAAAGCCAAGAAGUGGUCCAGCAGCCUUAAGCAGUUGUGAGGAAUCUCAUUAGUGAUAGAGGGAAAAAGAGAAGCAGCGUAAAGUUUAUUACAACAUUAAAAUGUUAUUCGAGGAGCAGUUAACAAAAGAAAUUCACAGGAGGUGAGGCUGCUGACUGAGAAAUAUUGAGUGUGAUGAAAAUUCAGGAGAACUUCUACUAUAUGAAGUACAAAAUUGGCUAAGGGGAAACCCAUCACAAUUAUCUUGGUGGCCUUAGCGAAAAGGGUGAUGGGCUUUAUGGCUCCAAGGUAAGGGGUUUUUCCUGUGCUACAGACAGUUGCUGGCUAUAAUAUACUAUAAAUCAUUGAUGAUCCCUAUAUUUUGGGAUAAGUACCUCAACAGCAAUUUCUUUCUUUCAUUUACAAAAGGGAAAAAGGAAAUCUUAUAAUUGGGAUGCCUAAGAGUAUGUGGGUUUAUCAAACUCUCUUUUAAGGCCUUGAAGGCUAUGCCAUCCAGUUCUCCCAAUACAGUUGGGUAUAGGUUGUUACUGUUGAAUAAAAUAUACAGAGGCUUGGCCAUAAGAGAGAAAUUUGGAAUCUAACAUUGGAAAAACAAACAAACAAAUAAAUGAACAAACGAGCUCAAGAAAACUUUGCAGUUAGUGCUUAGUUUUGGGUUUUGAGAACCUUGGGACAACAUGAAAUCUCUCUGGAUCUAAGUGUAGCUCUUGUUCUGAUAUUAGGUGCCCUAAAUAUCACAAUUAUGUUUAAGCAAACUGCAAUUCUUCUAUGGCAACCCUCUAAGGCUAAAUGCUUUAGCAAACAAUGUUUUUUAUUGCCUGGAGGUCCUGGACAA
RNAcentral lists this long non-coding RNA (7580 nucleotides) under Sus scrofa (pig). RNAcentral describes it as "lncRNA (ENSSSCG00000061348.1)". The record is from RNAcentral. Lineage: Eukaryota; Metazoa; Chordata; Mammalia; Artiodactyla; Suidae.